RNAcentral lists this ribosomal RNA (395 nucleotides) under Actinomycetota bacterium. Its description in RNAcentral is "bacterial SSU rRNA". Lineage: Bacteria; Bacillati; Actinomycetota. The record is from RNAcentral.
CAAGUUCGAGCGGAAAGGCCCCYUUUGGGGGUACUCGAGCGGCGAACGGGUGAGUAACACGUGGGUAACCUGCCUUCAGCUCUGGGAUAAGCCUGGGAAACUGGGUCUAAUACUGGAUAUGACGCGUCACUGCAUGGUGGUGUGUGGAAAGUUUUUCGGCUGGAGAUGGACUCGCGGCCUAUCAGCUUGUUGGUGGGGUAGUGGCCUACCAAGGCGAUGACGGGUAGCCGGCCUGAGAGGGCGACCGGCCACACUGGGACUGAGACACGGCCCAGACUCCUACGGGAGGCAGCAGUGGGGAAUAUUGCGCAAUGGGCGGAAGCCUGACGCAGCAACGCCGCGUGAGGGAUGACGGCCUUCGGGUUGUAAACCUCUUUCAGCGCUGACGAAGCCCU